CUGCUGCCUUCCGUAGGAGUCUGGUCCGUGUCUCAGUACCAGUGUGGGGGACCUUCCUCUCAGAACCCCUACGCAUCGUCGCCUCGGUGGGCCGUUACCCCGCCGACUAGCUAAUGCGACGCAUGGCCAUCCUAUGCCGGAGUCGCCUCCUUUGACCCCAAGAAGAUGUCUCCUAAAGGUGUUAUGCGGUAUUAGACGGAAUUUCUUCCGCUUAUCCCCCUGCAUAGGGCAGGUUCCAUACGUGUUACUCACCCGUGCGCCGGUCCGG
Molecule: ribosomal RNA, 268 nt
Filed under: uncultured bacterium
Lineage: Bacteria
Description: partial 16S ribosomal RNA
Source: RNAcentral